CCAAACUUGGUCAUUUAGAGGAAGUAAAAGUCGUAACAAGGUUUCCGUAGGUGAACCUGCGGAAGGAUCAUUAGCGUGAACAGAGCUAUUCAAUUCUCUGAACACCUCUGCGUAUUGGUAGUCGUUGCUUCCACGGAUUCGCAGGCUGCUCGGCGGUCUGCUUGAUCAACCGAUAAAGGUAUGGUCCGCCGUGGAAGGUUUACAACAGAAUUCAUUGUAGUUUGCUUCCGUCCGAAUGUAAGGUGAUGAAUAAUUCAAGUUCAAAACUUUCAACAACGGAUCUCUUGGUUCUCGCAUCGAUGAAGAACGCAGC
This 313-nucleotide unclassified non-coding RNA is filed under the name uncultured fungus. Its description in RNAcentral is "partial contains small subunit ribosomal RNA, internal transcribed spacer 1, and 5.8S ribosomal RNA". The stretch from base 1 to 73 matches the Rfam family "Eukaryotic small subunit ribosomal RNA", at positions 1759 to 1831 of the family's 1831-position model. Lineage: Eukaryota; Fungi. The record is from RNAcentral.